Molecule: long non-coding RNA, 1159 nt
Organism: Oenanthe melanoleuca
Lineage: Eukaryota; Metazoa; Chordata; Aves; Passeriformes; Muscicapidae
Exons: 3
Source: RefSeq, a predicted model, not a curated record
AAAGGAAACCAUGCCAAAAGUUGCAUCUGUGCCUUUUGCAAGUUGGUGAUAAGAAAGCAAAAGAAAUCUCUCCAUUUUCAAGAUAGCUUCAAAAAGAAAGCAACCAGACAUGGAACCACCUCCACCACCACUUCAUUGCCAGCGGCUCUUGCAUGUGAUGUCCUUGGAUGCCCAAAAGAUUAGCCAGUCUCAUCCUCCUGGCCCAUGUCACAGGGAUCAAAGACAUUUCUCCAUCUACAAACUUAAACUCCUGCUCUCUGAAAGUGAAGAGGACAAAUUGAAAGUUAUAGUCUGAGAAGAUUAAUAGGGACAUCUGACUCUUGAGGGGGCAGCAGUCCUCUCAUGUGGCAAUGCAUUACGAGCAACAGAAAAGGUUCUUCUACUCUGGUACUUUUCAGAGUUCAACUUCAGCCAUCAGCUCACACCCAAGGACCAUUAUUGACCACUACAGCUGCAUCACUUGCACCAUGGCACUUUCUAACAUCCAGGAGAACUCAAUACUUCCGUUAUAAAGAAUAUGGACAUGAAGAUCACCUUGUGUAUUUGUGCCCCUGAAUGUCUUCCACUUGAGGAAAAACCUGUGUGCUAUUGAAUAAGGUCCUGAAACAUAAUUUAAAAGCAUCACCACCAGUAAAACCCCAUUAUGAAGAGAGAGAAGGUCUUCUUGAACAUUAUUCAUUUGAAUCAUGGAGCUGUAUAGAAGCAGAUGUUGAUAUGAUGCAGCUGACGUGUGACAGAGUACCAAAUGGACAUCCUUCAAAAGCCAGUUCUAACUUCCCUAAGUCAUCACUACUACAUCUCCUAGUGGGACAUAUUUUUUAGGGAAUCACUCAGCAGGUGUAUCAGCUUUCCCAGUCCUAAAUUCUUUUCAGCUGCAUAUUUCUUUCAGAGUGAAAAUUGGAGCCAGUGUAGGCUGUGAAUUGCUGUGAAGACAUCGAAGCCACAUUCUUCACUUUUAAGGGACUGGUGUGGUGGCAUACCAGAGUCUAAUGUUCCAUGCAAUUUAUGAUUUUCCACUUUAUUGAAGAAAUAAUUCUGUUUGUAGUUUUAUGAACUUGCAGUCUUGAAUACACAGUACUGCAGGUCACAGUUUUAUCUAUAGGCUCUUCCAUCUUGAAUGAAGAAUUACUGUAUGUUGUUAAAACCCUGGUUUCCAAGA